Long non-coding RNA from Oreochromis aureus, 359 nucleotides. The record is from Ensembl. Lineage: Eukaryota; Metazoa; Chordata; Actinopteri; Cichliformes; Cichlidae.
GCAAAAUGGACAGCUGCAAAAGUCCCACAAGCACAGAGAGACACACACAGGAUCAAAUUCAGUCAACCAGUCUAAAUAUAUUGAAUUUAAAUCAUACAAUAAGAUGCUCCCAUAAAAACUCUCUCUCGCCCUCUCUCUCUCUCUCUCUCUGUCUCACGCACACACACACACACACACACACACACACACACACACACACACACACACACACACACACACACACACACACACAGGGAGAGAAAAUCAAGUUUCUAGCUCAGUCAAGCAGCCUGGGAGCUGCUAAAUUUGAAUCCACCAAUCAGAGAGGCUGUGUACUUUUUCCCGCCAAAACAGGUGCAGCCGUUUUUACACACACAGAG